UCCAGACCAACACGGUUCUAGCGGGAUUCUGCCUUUCCCUUCACUUUUCCUCCUUUACCAUGUCCAGACAUGGCUGCGUGGGUUGGUUUGUUGAUGUGUUGUGAUGCGAACUGAUGUGGUAUACGGUUUGAAUGAGAAUGAUCGUUACGGCAGCGGAGCGGGGAUUUUUAAGCUGACUGGCUGGCUCGAGAAUUACGCGUGUGUGAGACUGCGACCAAUGUUUCGUUAAUUUUUUUUCUUUUUCCUUUCCAAUCGUGCUUCAUUCUAUUUCGCUGCUGCUCUGGUUGCCCGUUUUGGUCGGUACGAUUUGAGGAGCACAAAAUGGACCAAUCAAAAAUGGGCACAUAGUGCAUUUGGACAAUGCUUGAUAUUUCACAAUUAUUCAAUUAUUUAUCUCAAGAUAAAUGAAAUGUUAUUCGUUAUGAUAGAUGCGUAGAUAUAUUUCCUAUCAAUUGAUGCAAAAACCUUUGCGAUCUACUGAGAAAUGCUCGAGCUAUAAGCGUUUCAAAUCUUGCAUUUUUUCCUACUUGUUCAGUGCCUAGAUUUCCAUUUCACCCCCUAUAUCUUCCGGUUAGACGUAGUCCUACGUCAAAAAAAGUUCCAAUAAAAUUUCAACGGUAAUGUAACCAAGAAAAAAUAGACACCCCUAAUGCCAACGUUUGGCGAUUUGGUAAACACACAGAUGAACAAUGGUGUAAAUCGAGCACAGAUGGUAGAAGGAAUGAUAGAAGGACAAAAGAAAAAUAAACUUAUACUUGCCGCUGCUGUGUGGCGUGUGUGAUAAAUCUGUCUGAAUUGUAUCUCGGUCGCGCACCACUUUGAGCUUCGCUCUACUCGCAAGCGCAACCGAUGAAAAAAAAACACAGUCUGAUUCGAUGUGGAAAAAACACCUUUGUUGGAUCGUUUCGAAAACCUAUCCGAUCUACUUGCGAGUUAUCGAACCCUCGAACCCGAACAUAAAACAUAUGAACAACAUAUUUGUGUAACGAAAUGAAGAAGAAAAACUCACAAGAUAUCUCGACAUUUCCUAUUUCAUCACUACUACUUCUUGCGCUGUCGGCGGGUUGAUUUUCAACUUCUCCCAAUUGAGUCCAGUGUUCAGGAUUCCCUGGUAAUGCUAGAAGUGAAAACAGUUUAUUACACGGUUUUUAUUCAAUACGAUACACUCACCAUCAGCAUUGAUUCUUCGACGCCGCUCAACCGAGUAUGAGACAUUUUCGCACUCUUCAUUCCUUUCAUAGCAAGAGGAAUCGAAAUGUUUCGAACAAAUUCCUUGGUUACCUAGAGGUUUCCACUGUUUUUGUUGUCCACAAUAAGCGAUCCAUUUCAAGAGCAGAUCCUCUCUUUUGGGAAAUCUAUGCACGGUAAUACAUUCAGCUUUAUUUUUGUAUCGAGAACGAGUUAUUUCGCAGCCUUAACGGCACAGAAAUUAGCCAUCUGCAAGAAAACGAAAUUAUAUCUUAUUAUAUAUUGCACCAUUUAAAGACAAAAAUACACUUACCUCGAAAUUCCUCACAGGUGAUUCCUCUGCCCAAAUAAACUCUCCUUAUUUCUUGGCACAAUUCAAAUGUUUUGAUAACAAACAAUUGUAAUGUUAUUCGAUGUUAAUUGAUGUUAAAUGAUUUUUAUAAUCCAAAAAUAUUCUCGUUCGUGGAAUGUUCAUCAGAGCCAAACUUGACAGCAAUAUUUUUCCCCCGCUUUGCAGUCAAAUCCCUUUCCACAGUCCUCUGUAUGUUUAUACCGUUUCCCCUAGCGCACUUAUUGACGACACGGUCACACCUUUAUUCUACACAUAUUGGGUGGGAAUAAGAGCAUUGAAAAAUUUAAAGCUCAAGAGAAUAAAUUGACUUUCGGUGUCGGUCGGAGAUGGAGGUAUUUUUCCCGUGUUUUGCAGUUAGAGACGUCGGUUAAUCGUUCGAUAAAUUCAAAUAAUCGAAUAUCUGUAUCAGUAAUUUUAUAUCAAAUAAUGAAAAAUCAAGAAAAUACAGUGCAAAAUUUGUUUAACCGUCAUGGUGUUUCGUCGAAAUUUAUAGAAUAUGCUAAAUCAUUUACGGUAGAAGCUUGAUUCCUAGGUGGUGGAGGAGACUGGGAAGAAGAAUUCAGGGUCUGCAGGAGUAAAAUGCGGACUUGAAGAAGGUGGUCUCAGCUCCCGUUCUAAAAUAGUAGUAUUCAAAUUCAGAGCGCCGAGGAAAAUAUACCAUACUAGUGAUCAAUGAUUCUAUGACCAAGCAGAGAUGUUCAAACAAAUCAGCUAUUUCAACAAACAACAUUCGAAGAACAGAUAAUUUUGAACAGCCAAAAUUUUGGUUGGUGAAAAAAAAAUGCAUGUCGGACUCGACUAAUAUCGACAGAUUCGAUAAUAUGUGAUUCGAUUAUAUACAAUU
Molecule: long non-coding RNA, 2384 nt
Organism: Toxorhynchites rutilus septentrionalis
Lineage: Eukaryota; Metazoa; Arthropoda; Insecta; Diptera; Culicidae
Exons: 3
Source: RefSeq, a predicted model, not a curated record